This 78-nucleotide transfer RNA is filed under the name Streptomyces poonensis. Its description in RNAcentral is "tRNA-Arg". Lineage: Bacteria; Bacillati; Actinomycetota; Actinomycetes; Kitasatosporales; Streptomycetaceae. The record is from RNAcentral.
CGCUUCCUGGUCCACGGCAAGGGGGCCGGCGGUUCCGGACCGCGGGAUCGCGAAGCGUUCCUCUUCGCUGAGGGACGC